AGCACCACUUCUUCGAGGCUUGGAUUCAGUAUUCCACCUUCUCUUACUAUCCCAAAUCCUCCUUCCAAUUCUUCUUCGUCUUGGAGUGCUGUUUCUGACCUUUCAAACCACCCUGACGACUUGAUUAGUCCAAGUGGUAGUUCGCUUAAUCCUGCCUCUGCACCUUUCUAUGCUAAUGGUGGGGGAGUGGGAUCUGAUUUGAUAGAUGAGUUUCAGCUCCAAGACCAGCUUGCUUUCCUCGGUGAUAACUCAGCAAAUCUUGG
Molecule: long non-coding RNA, 263 nt
Filed under: Manihot esculenta (cassava)
Lineage: Eukaryota; Viridiplantae; Streptophyta; Magnoliopsida; Malpighiales; Euphorbiaceae
Description: long non-coding RNA (MESC_LNC006716)
Source: RNAcentral